This 254-nucleotide ribosomal RNA is filed under the name uncultured bacterium. RNAcentral describes it as "partial 16S ribosomal RNA". It matches the Rfam family "Bacterial small subunit ribosomal RNA", at positions 524 to 776 of the family's 1533-position model. The record is from RNAcentral.
UACGUAGGGGGCGAGCGUUGUCCGGAUUUAUUGGGCGUAAAGAGCUCGUAGGCGGUUUGGUAAGUCGGGUGUGAAAUCUCCACGCUCAACGUGGAGGGGCCACUCGAUACUGCCAUGACUCGAGUCCGGUAGAGGAGUGUGGAAUUCCCGGUGUAGCGGUGAAAUGCGCAGAUAUCGGGAGGAACACCCGUAGCGAAGGCGGCGCUCUGGGCCGGAACUGACGCUGAGGAGCGAAAGCGUGGGGAGCAAACAGG